CGGGGUGAGUAAUGUCUGGGAAACUGCCUGAUGGAGGGGGAUAACUACUGGAAACGGUAGCUAAUACCGCAUAAUGUCGCAAGACCAAAGAGGGGGACCUUCGGGCCUCUUGCCAUCGGAUGUGCCCAGAUGGGAUUAGCUAGUAGGUGGGUAACGGCGCACCUAGGCGACGAUCCCUAGCUGGUCUGAGAGGAUGACCAGCCACACUGGAACUGAGACACGGUCCAG
This 228-nucleotide ribosomal RNA is filed under the name uncultured bacterium. Its description in RNAcentral is "partial 16S ribosomal RNA". It matches the Rfam family "Bacterial small subunit ribosomal RNA", at positions 104 to 334 of the family's 1533-position model. The record is from RNAcentral.